This 924-nucleotide ribosomal RNA is filed under the name uncultured bacterium. RNAcentral describes it as "bacterial SSU rRNA". It matches the Rfam family "Bacterial small subunit ribosomal RNA", at positions 1 to 916 of the family's 1533-position model. RNAcentral also lists the same sequence under 1 other name. The record is from RNAcentral.
GGAUCCAGACUUUGAUUAUGGCUCAGGAUGAACGCUAGCUACAGGCUUAACACAUGCAAGUCGAGGGGCAGCGAUGAAGAAAGCUUGCUUUCUUCAGGCGGCGACCGGCGCACGGGUGAGUAACGCGUAUCGAACCUGCCUCAUACUCAGGAAUAGCCUUGCGAAAGUAAGAUUAAUGCCCGAUGUUAUUAGGAUAUCACAUGAUGUUUUAAUUAAAGAUUUAUCGGUAUGAGAUGGCGAUGCGUCCCAUUAGCUUGUUGGCGGGGUAACGGCCCACCAAGGCAUCGAUGGGUAGGGGUUCUGAGAGGAAGGUCCCCCACAUUGGAACUGAGACACGGUCCAAACUCCUACGGGAGGCAGCAGUGAGGAAUAUUGGUCAAUGGACGCAAGUCUGAACCAGCCAAGUAGCGUGCAGGAAGACGGCCCUCUGGGUUGUAAACUGCUUUUAGUUGGGAAUAAAGUGCACCACGUGUGGUGUUUUGUAUGUACCAUCAGAAAAAGGACCGGCUAAUUCCGUGCCAGCAGCCGCGGUAAUACGGAAGGUCCAGGCGUUAUCCGGAUUUAUUGGGUUUAAAGGGAGCGCAGGCGGACCUUUAAGUCAGCUGUGAAAUACGGCGGCUCAACCGUCGAACUGCAGUUGAUACUGGAGGUCUUGAGUGCACACAGGGAUACUGGAAUUCAUGGUGUAGCGGUGAAAUGCUCAGAUAUCAUGAAGAACUCCGAUCGCGAAGGCAGGUAUCCGGGGUGCAACUGACGCUGAGGCUCGAAAGUGCGGGUAUCAAACAGGAUUAGAUACCCUGGUAGUCCGCACAGUAAACGAUGAAUACUCGCGAUUUGCGAUACACAGUAAGUCGCCAAGCGAAAGCGUUAAGUAUUCCACCUGGGGAGUACGCCGGCAACGGUGCAACUCAAAGGAAUUGACGG